UACGUAGGGUGCGAGCGUUGUCCGGAAUUACUGGGCGUAAAGAGCUCGUAGGUGGUUUGUCGCGUUGUUCGUGAAAACCGGGGGCUUAACCCUCGGCGUGCGGGCGAUACGGGCAGACUUGAGUACUGCAGGGGAGACUGGAAUUCCUGGUGUAGCGGUGAAAUGCGCAGAUAUCAGGAGGAACACCGAUGGCGAAGGCAGGUCGCUGGAACGGUACUGACGCUGAGGCGCGAAAGCGUGGGGAGCAAACAGG
This 253-nucleotide ribosomal RNA is filed under the name uncultured bacterium. Its description in RNAcentral is "partial 16S ribosomal RNA". It matches the Rfam family "Bacterial small subunit ribosomal RNA", at positions 524 to 776 of the family's 1533-position model. The record is from RNAcentral.